This 263-nucleotide long non-coding RNA is filed under the name Homo sapiens (human). Its description in RNAcentral is "HSALNT0234700". The record is from RNAcentral. Lineage: Eukaryota; Metazoa; Chordata; Mammalia; Primates; Hominidae.
UGAGCCUCAGUUUCCUCACCUGGCAAAUGGGGUGGGAAGACGCAAUGUGAUGUUUUCUUGCUAAAGAGCCUCAGCUGCUGCAGAAUGGGCCUGGGGGAAUCACCUCCUCCCCACCUUCCGCUUGGCCGGGCUGGCGCCUAACACGCGUAACUUCUCCCCUGCCAAGAGGAGACGCUGGUGGGAAGGCAGCCUGACUGCUGACAUCAGCCCAAUCUUGACUUCUAGGGAUCACUGCCGUGAACUUCUGGAAACACUGCACUAUU